GGCUGGUCCGAGGGCAGUGGGGUUUACAACUGAUUGAUCACAGCCAGUUACAGAGUUCUCUGUUCCUUCUCCACUCCUGCUGCUUCACUUGACUAGCCUCAA
Callithrix jacchus (white-tufted-ear marmoset) is the source of this 102-nucleotide non-coding RNA. The record is from Rfam. Lineage: Eukaryota; Metazoa; Chordata; Mammalia; Primates; Cebidae.